AGUGAACGCUGGCGGUAGGCCUAACACAUGCAAGUCGAACGACGGCACAGUAACAGCUUGCUCGUACGGGUGGCGAGUGGCGGACGGGUGAGUAAUACAUCGGAAUUUACUUUUUCGUUGAGUAUGACGUAGCGAAACUAAUGCUAAUACCUCAUACGACCUACGAUUGAAACCAUUGUAUCUUCUGACCUUGCUCGAUUGAAUGAUCCGAUGUCGGAUUGGCUAGUUGGCGGGGUAAAGGCCCACCAAGGCGACGAUCCGUAGAUGGUCUGAGAUGAUGAUCAGCCAAACUGGAACUGUGGCACGGUGAAGAGUACCAGGGGAGGACGCGGUGGAGCAGAUAGGACAAUGGGCGAAAGCGAGAUCCAGUGAUGCAGCGAGGGCGAAGAAGGCACGCGGGUUGUAAGGUUCUUAUGUUGGGAAAGAAAAGAAGAAAGUUACAACCCCGCUGUUAUGACGGUACCAAAAGAAUAAGCACCGGCUAACUUCGUG
This 492-nucleotide ribosomal RNA is filed under the name uncultured bacterium. RNAcentral describes it as "partial 16S ribosomal RNA". It matches the Rfam family "Bacterial small subunit ribosomal RNA", at positions 29 to 507 of the family's 1533-position model. The record is from RNAcentral.